GCUGUCGUCAGCUCGUGUUGUGAAAUGUUGGGUUAAGUCCCGCAACGAGCGCAACCCUUAUCCUUUGUUGCCAGCGGUCCGGCCGGGAACUCAAAGGAGACUGCCAGUGAUAAACUGGAGGAAGGUGGGGAUGACGUCAAGUCAUCAUGGCCCUUACGACCAGGGCUACACACGUGCUACAAUGGCGCAUACAAAGAGAAGCGACCUCGCGAGAGCAAGCGGACCUCAUAAAGUGCGUCGUAGUCCGGAUUGGAGUCUGCAACUCGACUCCAUGAAGUCGGAAUCGCUAGUAAUCGUGGAUCAGAAUGCCACGGUGAAUACGUUCCCGGGCCUUGUACACACCGCCCGUCACACCAUGGGAGUGGGUUGCAAAAGAAGUAGGUAGCUUAACCUUCGGGAGGGCGCUUACCACUUUGUGAUUCAUGACUGGGGUGAAGUCGUAACAAGGUAACCGUAGGG
Molecule: ribosomal RNA, 459 nt
Filed under: Escherichia coli
Lineage: Bacteria; Pseudomonadati; Pseudomonadota; Gammaproteobacteria; Enterobacterales; Enterobacteriaceae
Also listed under: 1 other name
Description: bacterial SSU rRNA
Rfam family: Bacterial small subunit ribosomal RNA
Source: RNAcentral